ACCUGUCAAGGGAUGGGAUCAGGCGGCAAGUGAACAGCUGCUGCACCCCGUGUACUGGAAGCUCCAACAAACGGGCGAGUGAGGGUUUGAAGGUCUUUGACAAAGCGAGGGUUGUGACGGUCGGAUCAAAACAGCACAUGAUGGCCGACUUUGUGGUGAAGUGGAUGAAAUCGACAAAUAACACCCUUUUCCACGACAUGCUGCUGAAGUGCCGCUCCUGGGGAUAAGCAGCUGCCAGAAAACUGAAGGAUGACAGCUAAUGGAGUUUCAGACAGACAUGUCCUUGGACAUCUUUUUGUUGCUCCAGCAGCGCCCUCUUCAGGCAGUUGGCGCUCUACUAAUCCAUGCCAAGAACCGCCCCUGCUGGAAGUAAAAAGGAAAAAAAGGAAAAGGAUACAUCCAGCCCCUCAUGUGCUGCAGGAGCUGCUGCUGGCUGGCUGGAAGGAGAGAAAGAGAGAGAGAGGAAACGAAGGGGCUGGCUUUAGAGCUCAGACCGCAGAUGGAAACCAAUCACCUAAUUAAGCUGAAACCAGAAUGUACACACACCUUAAACAUUCAAGAUGUAAAUAACUCACUGGUGUAACGAGGCUCGCUUUCCCCAAAUGCAAAAUCUCACCUGCGACAGCUGCUUUUCUCCACAUCGGUUCAAAAUGUCCUCACAGAACUAGUUAAUAGAGAUUCUUAUGAAGCUUUUGUAGUUUCUUGUCUCUCUCCAAGUCGAGCUCUGUCUAGGCCUGUUGCAAUAAACAACAAAUCAAGCA
Poecilia latipinna (sailfin molly) is the source of this 761-nucleotide long non-coding RNA. RefSeq lists it as uncharacterized. Lineage: Eukaryota; Metazoa; Chordata; Actinopteri; Cyprinodontiformes; Poeciliidae. The transcript has 4 exons. The record is from RefSeq and is a predicted model, not a curated record.